This 1924-nucleotide long non-coding RNA is filed under the name Olea europaea (common olive). Its description in RNAcentral is "long non-coding RNA (OEUR_LNC002073)". The record is from RNAcentral. Lineage: Eukaryota; Viridiplantae; Streptophyta; Magnoliopsida; Lamiales; Oleaceae.
CUUUAGCCAAAUAGCUUACCAUGAAAUUACUCUUUCCUUUGAUAACCCCUUUGAGCCUAUUUGCCUUUUCUUUGGUUUACCCACAUUACAAGCUUUCAUUUCUAGAAAACAAUAUCUUUAUCCAGCCCUCAAAGCUAGUGGAGUGUUGUUGGUUUUAUUGAAUGUUGGGUGUGAAAGAAAAGAAGUUUGGGGGUAUCAAUAUCAUUUGAGGUGCUAUGUUGGUGUGUAUAUAUAUAUAUAUAAUUGUUUGACAAGGGAAAAUAUGUGGAGGAGACUGAUUUUGAGUGACUAAAAUUAUAAGUUCUCCUGAGAGUUGAAAGAAGAAAAAGGGUGAUUGUGCUGAAUUGAUGAUAAGAAAGAAGUUAUUGAUUGGAGGGAUAGGGUUGUGUACAGAUCCUGUCUAUGUUGAGCUGAGUUGAAUAUCUUUUACUCCACUGAUUUAUUUGAAGCUUCGUAGUCACUUAUCCAAAUGUUUCAACACCUUAACCUUAAGCCACAUUUCAACCCUGAAAAGACCUUAUGAUUUAUGUAAUCCAUGUGAUCUAAGUGGUGACGAUUAAGAAAAUAUGCAAGCUUAUGGUAGAACAUAUUCAUUGGAAUGAUCUGAGCGAAAUAGUACCCAGUCUUAUACACUUGAGAGUGAGUGAUCAUACUAUCUUACAAGGUUCUACAUGUUCAGUUACUUUAUCUUCAUCUGAGAAUGCAUGCUAGUUGAGUAUUUUUGAUCGAUAAAGAAAAGAGUGUUUGAGAGCAACGUUUAGAUUUACACUUGGGAAAUGAAGUGGAAUAUCUGUAUUUGAGUGUGAAUCUUACGAGCAGGAAAGAAUAUAUUUGACCACUGAGGGUCGGGUUGGUGCUAAUUUAGAAAUUUUACUGUCUUGACAGUCUUUUCUUAGUUUAGAUGAUGAUUGAAAAUGGCUAUGCACACACACACACUGAUUGAACAUGGGAUAAGCUGUAAUUAUUUUUUAUAGCAUUAUUUGGAAGUAUGGCUGUGAAUUGAUAUACAAUUUUGAACUCUAUGAUAUUUAUAGCAAGGUAUCUAAUAUGUUGAUCAUUUUUUCAUUUGCAUGAUUAUGUUAGCAGUCAAUCUUGCUCGAGACGAGCAAGAGCUCAAGUUUGGGGGUGUGAUAAGUGUGUUUUUACACACUUAUUUAGCACUUUUUGGGACUUUAUUAUUGAUAAAAUUGAGUAGAUUUCUAUUUAUAAUUGUGUAAUUGUUACUUUUGUAGGCUAAAAUCCCGGAAAGAAGUAUAACGAGCGAAAAGAGAAGGAAAAGGACUUAAAUUAAACAAAAUUGUGAAGCUAAGGACUUGAAGUGCAAUUAUGGAAGGGCCUAAAUGUAAUAAAAGUCAAAUUUUGAGGACCAAAUUGCACUAAAUGAAAGUUGAAGGACCUGAUCUGCAAUUUCGAGAUUUUUUGGUCAACCUUUUUAUUAUUUUAUCCUUAUUUUAUGCUAGAUAUUUUUAGGAUAUUUAUGUUGUGUCAAAUAAUAUAUAUAUAUAUUUUUUUUAUAUUAUAUUUUAUCCUUAUUUUAUGCUAAAUAUUUUUAGGAUAUUUAUGUUGUGUCUAAUAAUAUAUUUUUUUUUAUAUAUUAUAUUUUUUAUAUAUUCCAUAUAUAUACUAAUAUAACUUGGUAGGUGAAAAAAAUUCCCCAACUCUUUCACUUUUCUCUCUAUCUCUCUAGGUCUCUCUCUCUCUUUUUCUUGGUUUUUUUCUUUUAGUUUUAUUUUCUUUUGUUAAUUUUAGUUUUAUUUUGGGAAUCAAGUGGAUAUAGCAAGGAGAUUAUUAAGGAAAGCUUGAAGAAUACGUUGAAAGAAUUACAAUUCAUACUUAAAAGGGUUUUAUCUCAACUUUUGUAUUCCUUUCAUUUAGUUCUUCAUGUUUGAAAUGAUAUGUUUAUGAGAAUCUCUUUGUUAUUUUG